UUUUUUUAUAACAAAACUUUAUUUUGUCUUUAAUAGUUUCCUUCAUUGACAAAUAAAUUUUGAACUCGGUUCUAGCAAAGCAUCAAUGUCUUUGCCUAAUUUGUGUUUCAAGAUUAUUGAUCUUUCGUAUUGAAGUUCUGAAAAUUAUAUUUUUUUCUUAGGUGGAGAAGUAUUGAAAAGAUGGAUCUUGAAGUUAUUCCUUUCAUUUUAGUAGUGUAACUAGCAAGAGCUCAAGAUUAUUUGCCGCCAUUCUUUGAUUACAGAAGUUUUUAUUUUGUUUGUUUCUUGCAUUGACAAAUGAAUUUUGAACUUGUUCUUGGAUAAUUUAUCUUUGGGAGAAAAUGAAUUGGUGGUGUAGGUUUGGGAAACAGUGGAUCAGGACACCCUGUGGAAAUUUAGGUUUUAUUAUGUGUUUAUUAUUUUCUUUGCUGCUAUUAUUCAUGGAUAAACUUGUGGAUUGGGAAUGCUUACCUCUUUAUGACAGGCACCGUAAAUGUCUGUGUCAGCCAUUUAAUUUUCUCUUUCUAGUCCACAGACAUUUCUUUCAGCAACUGAGUCAUUUAAUCGCAAAGAGAGUUUUGUUGCCUUUCAUGUUCUUUGUUGUCAAAACAACCUUGUUUCUUUUUUAUCAGCUAUAGUAUUUAGUUUCACUGCGAUCUCGGGAUGUGUUAUUUGGAAGUGAUGUGGUUACUCAUUUAAGGAUUGACGUGUUAUUUGGAAGUGAGGUGGUUAUUCAUUCGAGGAUUGAAUUCCAUUCCCUUUGACUUGCAUUGUUUGUGUUCAUUGCUAUCAAACAACUUUCUUCAUUUUAAAUGUAUGGAGUCUAUUUUUUUAAGAUGAAAUCCCCACUAAAUGUUUAUGUUUUAUUUUUUCUUUCUUUUUCAUCAUCUCCUAGUUAUUUGUGUUUCUCAUAGGCUUGGUCUCAUCCCUUCGACUUGCAUAUGUUUGUGUUCAUUGCUAUUGAACAACUUUCUUUUUUGCCAUUAGUCUUCUGGAGCUUUGCCAUGAGACUUCUUGAGUUUUGCCGUGAGACUUCUUGAGUUUUGCCGUGAGACUUCUUGAGCUUUGUCACAAGUCUUCUUGAGCUUUGCCACGAGUCUUCUUGAGCUCUGCCAUGAGUCUUCUUGAGCUCGGCAAUGAGUUUUCUUGAGCUUUGUCGUGAAGAAUGUAGGGGUCAGGUUUUGGAAACCGUGGAUGGAGAUGCAGUUAAAGUUUCGGUUUUAUUAUCUUUGCAUUUAUUAUGCUGAUAAAAAAAAUCUUUGCAUUCAUUAUUUUCUUUUUUGAUAUUCUUUUUGCUACUCUGGUGGAGUGGGAGUUCUUGUAAUUGGACCUUUGACUUUGAUGAUUUGAUUAUCUUCUACUUGUGUUGUAGAGAAUUUUGAGCUUUGCCAUUAGUCUUCUUGAGCUUUGCCAUGAGUCUUCUUGAUCUCUGCCUUGAGCCUUCUUGAACUCUGCCAUGAGUCUUCUUGAGCUUUGCCAUGAAUCUUCUUGAGCUUUGUCAUGAAUCUUCUUGAGCUUUUACAUGAAGGAUGUAGGGGUCAGGUUUUGGAAAUAGUGGAUGGAGAUACAGUUAAAGUUUAGGUUUUAUUAUCUUUGCAUUUAUUAUGCUGAUAAAAAAAAUCUUUGCAUUCAUUAUUUUCUUUGCUCCUAUUCUUUUUGCUACUCUUGUGGAGUGGGAGUUUUUGUAAUUGGGCCUUUGACUUUGAUGAUCUGAUUAUCUUCUUCUACUUGUGUUGCAAUGAACACUUACCAUGGAUGUUUGUUGGACAUAUUGUGAAGCUUCAGGUUUUAUUACUUUUCCACUCACUAUUUUUCUUAUGUGCUCGAUUUGGAAUGUGUACAGUUUCUCUUAUUUGUUGGAUAGUUGGAAGGUAUUUCAUUGUAUUGUAUGUAUCUAAGCAAGAGCAAUACUUCUAGGUCCUCCAUCAUCUAACCAUAUUGAUUAUAGUUUUCUUGAAUUCAUUGGCCUAAAAGGAAAGCUAAGCAAUGAAGUUUGGUGUAGGAUGUAAAAAUGGUUGGUGGAAAUUCUGUGAUCAGUGAAGCUAAAUGUUUCUCUCAUUAGGACAUUGUUGUGUUUAACUGAAUUAAUUUUUAACUGGCUAAACUUGUUGGUUUGAUUAUAAUCUUGGUUGUAUUUUGAUGGUGUAUGGUUCUAAGAGGCAUUGUGGGAUUAGCAUGAGACAAGUGUGGUUGGGCUUUACUCUUUUAUUUGAUGGUUUGCUUCUUGGUUUGGAAAGUUCUACUAUUUAAUUUUGAUGACUUCUCUGCAUAAUUCUAUAAUAUAGGUCUGUUGUUCUUUUAAUAGUUUUCCAAAACCUUUUGAUUCAUUAUUCUUGAUCCCAAACAUAGAAUUUUUGCAUGUAAUCUCGUGUGAUCCUAGACAACAAUGUCUCUUACUAUGAUGACGGACAUCAAUGUCUCUUACGCUGAAAUUUUUGAAAUUAGUAUAAGAAUGAUCCUGAAAUUGAAAUUGUUUAAAUGCUUCACUUUUGUUUCAACAAUCUCAUGUGUUUCUCGUUCCUUGAGUUUUGAAAUUUGCAUUUAUUUGUUUGCAACACAUUGAGUCUUUAUUUGAGGUUUCUCUUUCAGUUCAUUAACUCAGCAAGUGAUGGAAUAUAGUGGGACGACUAACAUGUUUAAUCAACCAGUUAUAGAUUUUUUUCUUUUUUUCCUUUAUUGUUUAUUGAGUUGAGUGCUUUGAAAAUAUUUCUGUAACCAAUUGGGAUUGAAAGUCCAGCGUUAUGCCUGGCAUUAGAUAAUUGGACUUCUUUUAUUAGUUAUCCAAACCGUUCAUUUUUUUCAUAUUUGUUCUAUUUGGACAGGAAUUGUAUGCGAGAGAGAUAAUGAAGUUUUGGAGGUGAAUUUGUUAAUUUCAGUUACGACUAUGGAGGAAUUGUAUUUUGGAGGUGAAUUUGUGAAUUUGUAUGAGACAACUUUGUUUCUCUGAAAUUUAGAGAGCCUCUUUAAUAUUGCAUGGUAGUUUUUUUAUACGAUAUACAAGUAUAUCCAGUUUUAUUUGGAUAUUUUUUAGCAACAAUGCUUUUGGAAUAGGAUUUGUUUGAGCGCUACCAUGAGAAAGUUCAACUUGAAACGACAACAACUCAUAAUAGCCUAAUUCCUUCUAUAUGAGGUUUCACCUUUUAUUUAACUUCUAAGGACUUGAUUACCAACAUUAGGAUUGAAUUGUGAUUUGUUUUUCUACAGUGGUUUAUGAUUGUCUUCAAACAAUGUUUGGAUCUCAUCGAGCCAGUUGGUUUCUGAGUUAAGAAUUUUUCUAAUAUUUUCUAAAAUUCCUCCCCUGAAACAAGUGUUUUUAGUUUUCUUGAAUUUUUGCUCUUUACAGAUAAGACAAGCAAUGGAUGUGUGACGACAUGUAGAAACAUGGGGAUCAAUUAAAGCCUUAGUUUGUCUUAAUUGGUGACUAGUUAUUUGAAUGCAGUUUUAUAUGUGGUGACAAUGAUCUAUCAAAAUAAAAAAAUUGGUUUAGGAUUUCCUCUCUAUUUGAUAUUUUCAGAUUUGAUCACCAAAUAUAAGGAUUUUCUGUUGCCAUUUGUUUCUCUGCAGUGAUGUUUGCAUUAUGGCUUUACAAGUCUUUCAGAGGAUCAGUAGUUUCAGAGGUGAAUUGUGUGUUGCAGUGUAAAUUGUUCAAGUUUAUUUAUUUGCAAAAGGGAUCAAUUCUCCAUUCAUUUUUGCAGAAGAUUAGAUGGCUAACAUUAUUGUUCGUUCAUUUGAUCCAGUAAGAGCUCAUUCUAGAAAUGUGGACUUCUCUUUAAAAGCCUUUGGUAUUUUAACUAUCUUCAAAAGAUAUUUUUUCUGGAUCUAUUGUUUUGACAGAGCAGGUCUUCGAGGAAGACACGAGUGUUGUUGAUUUUUAGAUUUGGAAUUGUUCAAGUACCAACAACAUGAUUUCAUGAUCUCUUAUGAUUUCCCCUGAAUUCUUGGUUGUUGUUUUGCCAGGGUAGGGUCUGGGUAGAUUUGGGUUUUUGGAUUCGGAAUUGUCCAACUACCAACAAUGUGUGUACAGGUUUGAAAUAGAUGAUGUGUUUGUCAGAUAUUUUCUAGGGAUAUAUAUAUAUAUAUAUAUAUAUAUAUAUAUAUAUUUAGUUGCUAGUUUUAUUUUUCAUUCAAUUACUUAAUUGCUUUAUUACUAUGAUCAUUUGAUUAUAAAAUUAUUCUUGGUAGUUAUAUAAUUAUUCAUGGUUGUUAGAUUACCUUUAAUAGUUACUGUUGUUGGAAAUAUAAUCUAGAAGUCCUUUGUUGGCUAAUGAUUCUCUAACAUUUUUUUUAAUUUUAUGGUAGUUGUAUUUUGCUUUGACAAUUUAGUUUAGUUUUUUUUAUUAACUCUGAUUGUUUCCAGCAUCGACACAUGAAUUUUGAACUUGUUCUUGCAUAAUUUAUCAUGGGAGAAAAUGAAUUGGUGGUGUAGGUUUGGGAAACAGUGGAUCAAGACCCUAUGGAAAUUUGGGUUUUAUUCUGUGUUUAUUAUUUUCUUUGCUGCUAUUAUUCACGGAUAAACUUGUGGACUGGGAAUGCUUACCUCUUUAUGACAGGCACUGUAAAUGUCUGUGUCAGCCAUUUAAUUUUCUCUUUCUAGUCCGCACUCAGACAUUUCUUUCAGCAACCAGUCAUUUAAUCGGAAAGAGAGUUUUGUUUCCUUUCAUGUUCUUUGUUGUCAAAACAACCUUUGUUUCUUUCUUAUCAGCUAUAGUAUUUAAUUCACUGCGAUCUCAGGAUGUGUUAUUUGGAAGUGAUGUGGUUAUUCAUUCGAGGAUUGAUGUGUUAUUUGGAAGUGAGGUGGUUAUUCAUUCGAGGAUUGAGUUUCAUUCCCUUUGACUUGCAUUUUUUUGUGUUCAUAGCUAUCAAACAACUUUCUUCCUUUGAAAUGUAUGGAGUCUAUUUUUUUAAGAUGAAAUCCCCUCUAAAUGUUAAUGUUUUAUUUUUUUUCUUUCUUUUUCAUCAUUUCCUAGUUAUUUGUGUUUCUCAUAGGCUUGGUCUCAUCCCUUCGACUUGCAUUUGUUUGUGUUCAUUGCUAUUAAACAACAUUUUUUUUAAAUGUAUGGAGUCUUUUUUGUUACGUCUAGAGAUGUUGAUUUGCUUGUUUUCAUUCCGUUUUAGGUGUUGAUUUGUUUGCGUUCAUUCCUUUUUAGGUGUUGAUUUGUUUGUGUUCAUUCCUUUUUAGCAUUUGGAGGCCUCAAGAAUGGUUGAGGAUUAAAAUCUGGAAGUGUUUAGAACGACCAAUAAUUCAGGAUAACCUAAUUUCAUUAGUUUCCUUUCCAUUUGAUUUCUUGAGAUUUGAUCACGAAGAAUAAGGAUUGAAUUGUCAUUUGUUUUUAUGAUGUCUUUCUUUGUUUUGAAUGUCUUAUUGUCUCUAUACUUCAACUCUAUGAGCCGUUGUAGCCUUCCUGAAUUCUUGGGGUGUACAGUACAGGACAAACAUGCAACAGAUGUUACGUAGGACAGAUGUGAGUAUCCUUAAAGCUCUAGGUUUUGGUAUCCACACAUAUUUUUGUCUUUAAUUGGGACUGGCUAUUUGAAUUUCUCUGGUUUUUGAAUUCCUUCAAUUCAUCUUAUGCUUUCUUAACUUCUUGGUCUUUAUUACCAAUAUCUAUUUUUAUUUAAAUAUAGUUCUUAAAUUUUUUAUGUCUAGGUGUUGAUUCGUUUGUGUUCAUUUCUUUUUAGCAUGUAAGACUGGUUAAGGAUUAAAAUCUGCUAGUGUACACGAAAAACAAGCCACGGAUGUGAGGUAGGAUAUCUAAAUACUGGAAGGAGAUGCUUGAUUCUGUAGGUUAUCCAUAAUCUUUGAUGACAGAUGCUUACUUGAGUUUGGAUGUAGUUAUUUAUUUGAUGAAAGAGAUCUAUCAUAUGUAACUUUGUGUUAGUUCCUUUUCAGCAGGGGAUUCUGGUUGAGGAUUAAAAAACAUAAAUUUGAAUAUUGAUUUUGUUUGAUUAUUGAAAUAUGACAAAUCUAGCUGUUUGAUCUUUGAAUAUGUUGAUUCUUUUUAGCAAAUCAUAGGUUAGUAAUAAUAAAAUGCUCAGGGAAGAUGUCUCCCCUUUACUUGAAACAUUGUAGAUAGAGCAUAUUUUUCCAGACUGAUAUGCGAGGUAGGGUGUGGAAACACUUCCCAGGGGAUUUGUGAAGCUUUAGGUUGUUACCUGUUAGAUAUUAUUAGAUAUUAUUAGAUAUUAUUAGAUAUUAUUAGAUAUAAUUAGAUAUUAUUUGAUAUUAUGAGAUAUUAUAGAUAUUGUUAGAUAUCUCAUAUUUAUGUAAUGGGCUUAGCCCAUAUGUUUCUUUUCCUAUAUAAACAUAACCCUAUGUGUUCAAUAUACACAAGGGAUUUACCCUAUUCUUUCUUUUCCUUUAAUAUUACCCUUACCAUUCUUGUGUCUUUAUUUGUGACUGACUAAACUUCUUGUUUGGAUUCUAAGUUUUGGUUGGAUUCAUUGCUAACAUUGUAGUUUGACUGGCAGUCUGGCAGUUCUUGUGGGUUUAGAGGUCGUGUAAUACUCUCUUUUUUAAGUUGUCCAUUUCUAAGUAAUUUAGGCUUCUCUUAGCUUUUACCAGUCCUGGAUUCAUAGUGAAAUUUGACCCUUUUACAUGGUGCAAUUGAAAUUAAGGAGAGAAUUAUUGAUCUUUAGUUUUCUAGUACUGAAUUAAUUUUGGAUUUGUUUUGGUGUAGCAAAUCUGAAAGGUCAUUUUCUUAGUUAUUACUUCAUUUACUAAAUAAUCAAGAGCAUUGGACAAUUUGAUUUUGUAGUGUUUUGUUUGCUGCAUUGACAAAUGAAUCUUGCAUUCUAUUGUUUUUAGGAGUUUUAGAUUACAUCCUGAAUAUGACAUGAUGAUCUCUUCUAUCUUCCAAAAUGAGAAUGAUCUGCAACAUUAGAGUUGUAUUUAGUUCUAUGUCCAAUGUGAGAAUGAGAAAAUUAAGAGCUCUAUUUAGUUUUAUCUCCAAUUAUCUCUAAUAUGAGAAUGAGAAACAACAGUAGUUGGAAUGUUUUCUUGCAAUCUUCCUGUGCUAUGAUUUAGUUCUCUCUCCAUAUAUGAGAAUAAGAAAAUGAGAAAGAGAAACAAGAUUAUUUGGAAUGUUUUGUAGUAAUCUUCUUGCACUAUGAUUCGGUUCUCUCCCAAUAUGCGAAUGAGAAACAACAAUAUUUGGAAAGUUUUGUCGUAAUCUUCUUGUGCUAUGAUUCGGUUCUGUCCCCAAUAUGCGAAUGAGAAGAUGAGAAACAACAGCUUAUGAGAGCUCCAUUUGGUUCUAUCUCCAAUAUGAGAAUGAGAAACAACAGUACAUGAGAGUUCUAUUUAGUUUUAUCUCUAAUACGAUAAAGAAGAGAAACAAAAGCAUUUGGAUUGUUCUCUUUGUAAUCUUCGUGUGCUAUGAGCAACGCCUCCCCUCGAGGCUAUGGUUACGGGUGAUGCCUCUCUAUUCCAACAUGAGAGCUCUAUAUAUUUUUUUGGGGUGGGGUCUCAAUUUAUGAUACCAUGUGGAAGCAGACACCAUAUUUUUGCCGUCUAUAUUUCUCAGCUCUUGCUGAUUUUGCCAUGCUGAACUUAGUUUUCUUGAAUUGCCAUUCUUCUUAAAUUUUUACAGUAAAGCAAUAGAUAUGUGGGGGCAGGUUUUGGAAACAUUGUAUGGAGAUCUGGUGAAACUUUAGAUUUUAUUAUCUUUGCAUAUUCAUCAUUUUCUUUGAUGGCUAAACUUGUGGAUUGGGAGUUCUUGUAAACAGGCACUAUGUGAGUUUGAGAGGCUUUGGCAAUUGUGUUGUUAGGCCUUCGAUCCUGGUGAUUUGAUAAUCUGUUGCAGUGAAGACUUUAUGGAUGUCUGUUACCCAAAUUACGGUACAUUAUUGGACUUACAUUUCCAUUUCACUAUUUUUUUUAUAUCCUUGAUUUGGUUGUGGUAUCUCUUAUUGGUUGAAUAGUGGGAAGGCACAUGUGAAUCUUAUGAUGUAUUGCCUUUAAUAGUUUUUGCUGUUGGAAAAAUAAUCUAGAAGUCCUUUCUUAGCAAAUUAUUCUCAUUAUUGUAGAAAUUCUAUAACAUUUAUUCAGGUUUUACUUUCUACAAUUAGUUUAUUUUUAUCCACUCCGAUAACUAAUUAAAUAUUUACUUUCUCUAGAAAGUAGACUAUGUGAUUGAUAUAUUUUAAUGUUAUUCAUAAAUUAGUUCUUUAUAUUAAUCAUUACAAAAAUGUUUGGUAUACACUCAUAUUUAUCAUAUUGCCUUCAAGUAGAAAGGUAUUUGUAUAGGGCAAUUGCUUCCUCCCCCAAUCAAUUUUGACUAGCAUUCAAUAGAAGUUUUAAAACUUCAUUAUGCCUUUUUCACGGCUUACGAAUGCCAAUAUCCAAAAGUGACAUAUUUGCCUAUGGAUAUUGCCAUUUGGAAGUGAUAGUUUUGCCUACGGAUAUUAACAUUCGAAAGUGUCAGUUUUGCCUACGGAUAUUGACAUUUGGAAGUGUCAGUUUUGCCUACGGACAUUGGCAUCUGGAACUGGCACUCUUUGAUUGCGUUCAUUUUUAUCCGAAAGGCACUAUCAUUUUUCUUAAUAUACAUAUCAGGAAGCCAAUCAUCCUUAACUUUUUUUUUUGGCAGUGUAAUGAUUUUGUUACUUUUAAUGGAUUAAAACCACUAAACCGAACCAAUUUAAAGAAUAAAAGUAAAAUCAACAUUAAAAUUUGUUACUUGCUUUUUAUUAUAAAAUAUUUAUAUUAUCAUUUAUAUAUUUUCAAAUGCAUUAACCAUUGAUGACAUAUAGAACAUUGUUGAGAGUAGAAAAAAAGCACCCAAUAAACACAUUUUGGAUUUUCAAAAUGGGACCUGAUGAAAAAGACUUUCGUGGUGCAUAUGGAUGUUUAUAUUCAUAACUCAUAACACAAUUACGGACAAAAAUAUUCAGAACCCGUGAGAAGCGUGAAGCGACACGUCUCCUUUUCUGGUGUCUUUGCUUUCUGUCGUUGUUGAAGUGGCUCAAAAGCGUUGCUUGCGUGUGUGUAAGACUUUCGGAAGAGAAUGUCUACAAGAAACAAUGAAUGACCUUCUGCACUGUGCUUGAUUGUGGGGUGUAUGGAACCUAAUUUCACUCAUUAAGGGUGUCAUGGUAAUUUCAUAUAGAUCAUUAAGGGUGUUAUGGUAAUUUCAAACAGAAAAUUGGGUGUUAGUUAGAAUUGAUUGGGUGCAGGAGAGUCAGCUUUGUGUAGCAAUAAAAAGUCACAAAGAAAUCUAUUCAACUCUAAAAGGUUGUGAUAUUUAACACCACAAAGAGUAAAAAACAUUCACAAAUUAAUAAAAUAAUAUUUUAAUCAUAUUUAAUUUAUUUUUAUUUUUAAAUAUUAUUAUAUUAUUAUAAUGAGAUGUUAAGUAUACGUUUUUACAUGGUGUCAAAAAAUUAUUUUCCUAUUCUAAAAGAACUUAGACAAAUGUCUUAUUAUAAUAAAACUAAUAAUGUGGAAAAUAUUUUAAAAAACACUAAUAAAAGAAAUAAGUUUAUUUUUCAAAUUGAAGUCAAAUUAAGAUUAAAACAAUCUUAAAAUUUAAUUAUAUUGACUAAAAAGUUAAUAAAAACAAAACAAUAUUUACAAGAUAUUUUUAAAUAUCUUUAAAAUAAUAACUGCAAAUUUGUUUCCCCUGUUUUGUGUCAGCGGUUUGUUAUAAGAUAAGGAUGAAAAUCUUAAUUGCAUAUUUUCACCUCACCGCGUAAUAUAAGCUGUCAAUCUUGACCCUCCCUUUCUAUAUAUACCCGAAGAUCUUAUUGAGUUUAUCAUAUUGAGUUUUGUUGGUAUUGGUUCCGUGAUUGAGUUUUGUUAGUACUGAUUGGGGGUGAUUGUUGUGCUUCUUAUUAUCAAGUCUCCGUGGUUUCGUCGAAUUAUAUCAUGUUUGCUAUCAUCGAUGUGGUUUUGAUGUGGUUUUGUCGGAUUGAAGAAUGCAAGAAUCUUUUAUAGGAUUGAAGAACGCCAAUUCUGAAUAUGAUUCUUUAUGUGAUGAUGACAAGUUUUGAAUCUUUUGAUCAAAUUCCUUUAUCCCUUUUCUGCUGGUGACGGGGUCUUUGAGUAUUUUCUUCUACUUUCCUUUCUAUUAUUUGAUUUAUCUGGUAUUGAUCACGAAAAUAAGGAUUGGACUAUGAUUUGUUUAUCUGCAGUGGUGUAACACGUUUCUUAGUUAGUUUUCUUGAUUUUUGGGCUGUACAGGGAAGACACGCAAUGGAUGUGAAAUGAAGUAUUAUGUUUUCUUGACUUCUUAUGGGUUUAUUCGUGACUGAUUAUUGGAUUUCGUAGCCUAACUUGGUGUUUAUGUUCACUCCCCUUCAGCAAUUCGAGUUUCUGAGAUUUGAAACCCUAAAAAGUUUGAAACGGUUGCAGCUCAGGACAUCCCAAUUCUCUCUAUCUAUUGUUUAAUUUCUCUCUACUUUAUCUCCAAGGAUUGAAUUGUGUUCGACGUUUGAAUUAUUUUCCCUUAAUGUUAUGAGGCCCCAAGGGUUGAAUUGGUGUUUGAAUUAUUUUUUUCGCUUAAUGUCCUGCAGAGUAUGUUAUGAGACAUAAGGGCUGAAUUGUGAUUUGUUUCCUGUUUGGAUGAUUUGCAUAGCAUCUUAUAGAAUAUGAAUGGUUUGGUUUUCGCACGGUUCUCGCGAGUAUGUUAUAGCCACCAUUCUUCCUUGGUUUUUAAGUCUUCAAUUUAUCUUAUCGUUCUAUACUUCAUCCUCGAUUACCAGUUAUACUUUGUUGAAUUAUUGUUCUUUACAGGGAUGAGUGGGGAUAAGACAGGGAUGUGUGGGUAGGACGUUCCUCGUGGUUGGUUGAAAAUGGUGGAUGAGCCAUGCUCGACGGUAUGAAAAACACAACGACAAUGGGCUCGACAUAACCGAAGUCUUUUUUGAGUUUUCCUUCUAUUUUUCUUCAACAUAAGGAUAUGAUUUGUUUAUCUGCAGUGGUGUUUUGAACCUUUUGCGUAAAUUUCUUUGCUCCUUUUCAGUUGGUGGCCGAUUCUCUGGCGUUUCUUUAGCUUUUGGAUGAUUUGAAAACUAGAACGACCAAGAGCUAGGCAUAACCUAAGUCUUUGUUGAGUUUCCCUUCUUUAACUUUUUUUUCUGCUAUUGAUCACAGUACAUAAGGAUUGAACUAUGAUUUGUUUAUCUGCAGUGGUGUUUGGAUUAGUUGGGUAACGACACAUACUCAUCUUAUCAUGUUCCUAUAACUAGUAAAUUCAUUUACUGAAUUUUGAGUAUAAUUGUCUAUUUGAGUAUGACGAGUUUUAUACCUUUUGCGUAAAUUUCUUUUCAGCUGGUGGCUGGUUUUUUGGUAUUUCUUUUGCCUAUGGAUGAUAUGGAAAGCACAACGACCAAGGGCUCGACAUAACCUUAAGUCUUUUUUUAGUUUCCCUUCUAUUUUUGUUAUGGUAUUGCAUAAGGAUUGAACUAUGAUUUGUUUAUCUGCAGUGGUGUUUGGAUUAGUUGGGUAACGUCACAUAUUAAUCUUAUCAAGUUUCUAUAAUUAGUAAAUUCAUUUAUGUCUAUAUGAGAAUGACGAGUUUUGAACCUUCUGCGUAAAUUUCUUUGCACCUUUUCAGCUGGAGUUCUCUGUCAUUUCUUUCUCCUAUGGAUGAUAUGAAAAGCAGAAGGACCAAGGGGCUCGACAUAACCUAAGUCUUUUUUGACUUUUUUUUUCUAUUUUUCUUUUUCCUGGUAUUGAUGACAGUACAUAAGGAUUGAACUAUAAUUUGGUUAUCUGCAGUGGUGUUAGGAUUAGUUGGAUAACGACGCAUAUUCAUCUUACAAGUUGCUAUAACUAGUAAAUUCAUUUAUGUGAAUUUUGAGUAUAAUUCUCUAUUUGAGUUUGACAAGUUUUAAACCUUUUGCGUAAAUUUAGUUUCAGCUGGUGGCUGGUUUUUUUGCCUUUCUGUUGCCUAUGGAUGAUAUGAAAAGCACAAUGACCAACGGGCUCGUCAUAACCUAAGUCUUUUUUGAGUUUUCCUUCUUUUUUUCUUUUUCCUGGUAUUGUUCACAGUACAUAAGGAUUAAACUAUGGUUUUGUUUAUCUGCAGUGGUAUUUGGAUUAGAUGGGUAACAACGCAUAUUCAUCGUAUCAAGUUUCUAUAACUAGUAAAUUCAUUUACGUCAAUUUUGACUAUAGUUCUCUAUUUGAGUUGACACUAUAGUUCUUUAUUUGAGUAUGACGAGGAAAAUUACUUAAAUUUCUUUUCAGCUGAUCAAGGGCUCAACAUAACCUUAAAUCUUUUUUGACUUUCCCUUUUAUUAUUUUUUUUAGGUAUUACAUAAGGAUUGAACUAUGAUUUGUUUAUCUGCAGUGGUGUUAUGAUUAGUUGGGUAACUUCACAGAUUCAUCUUAUCAAGUUUCUAUAAUUCAUUUAGGUGAAUUCUGAGUAUAAUUCACUAUUUGAGGAUGAUGAGUUUUGAACAUUUUGUGUAAAUUUCUUUGCAUAUUUUCAGUUAUUGGCUGGUUCUCUGGCAUUUCUUUUGCCUAUGAAUGAUAUGAGAAGCACAACGACCAAGGGGCUCAACAUAACCUAAGUCUUUUUUGAGUUUUCCUUAUAUUUUUCUUUUUACUAGUAAUAAUAACAGUACAUAAAGAUUGAACUAUGAUUUGUUUAUCUGCAGUGGUGUUUGGACUAGUUGGGUAACGACGCAGAUUCAUUUUAUCAAGUUUCUAUAACUAGUAAAUUCAUUUACGUGAAUUUUGAGUAAAAUUCUCUAUUUGAGUAUGACGAGGUUUAAACCUUAUGCGUAAAUUUCUUUUCAGCUGGUGGCUGGUUUUUUGGCAUUUCUUUUGCCUAUGGAUGAUAUGCAAAGCACAACGACCAAGGGCUCGAUAUAACCUUAAGUCUUUUUUGAGUUUCCCUUAUAUUAUUCGUUAAUGGUUUUACAUAAGGAUUGAACUAUGAUUUGUUUAUCUGCAGUGGUGUUUUGGAUUAGUUGGGUAACGUCGCAUAUUCCUCUUAUCAAGUUUCUAUAGUUAGUAAAUUCAUUUAUGUCUAUAUGAGGAUGACAAGUUUUGAACCUUCUGCGUAAAUUUCUUUGCACCUUUUCAGCUGGCGUUCUCUAGCAUUUCUUUCUCCUAUGGAUGAUAUGAAAAGCAGAAGGACCAAGGGGCUCAACAUAACCUAAGUCUUUUUUGAGUUUUUUUUUCUAUUUUUCUUUUUCCUGGUAUUGAUGACAGAACAUAAGGAUUGAACUAUGAUUUGUUUAUCUGCAGUGGUGUUUGGAUUAGUUGGAUAACGACGCAUAUUCAUCUUACAAGUUUCUAUAACUAGUAAAUUCAUUUACGUGAAUUUUGAGUAUAAUUCUCCAUUUGAGUGUGACGAGUUUUAAACCCUUUUUGUAAAUUUACUUUCAGCUGGUGCCUGGUUUUUUGGCCUUUCUGUUGCCUAUGGAUGAUAUGAAAAGCACAACAACCAAGGGCUCGACAAAACCUUAAGUCUUUUUUGAGUUUCCUUCUAUUUUUUUAUGGUACUACAUAAGAAUUGAACUAUAAUUUGUUUAUCUGCAGUGGUGUUUGGAUUUGUAUAACGUCACAUAUUCAUCUUAUCAAGUUUCUAUAAUUAGUAAAUUCAUUUAGGUCUAUAUGAGGAUGACGAGUUUUGAACCUUUUGCGUUAAUUUCUUUGCACCUUUUCAGCUGGAGUUGAGUUGUGAACUUGUUUGGAAGUUUUGCAUGUAAUCUCCUUUGAGCCUAGACUGCAAUGUCUCUUAUGCUGAAAUCUUUGAAAUCAGAAUAAUGAACCGGAGUGACAACAAUGCUCUAACGCUGAAAUUUUUGAAAUCAGUAUAAUAAUGAUCCUGAAAUUGUUUAAAUGCUUCACUUUUGUUUCAACAAUCUCCAUUUAUGUUUCUCAUUCUUCGAGUUUUGAAAUCAGCAUUUAUUUGUUUGCAGCACAUUUUGUCUUUAUUUGAGGUUUCUCUUUCAGAUUGUUAACUCAACCAGUGAUGGAAUAUAGUGGGACGGCUAACAUGUCUUAUCAACAAGUUUGAGUGUUUAUCCAAAACCAUUCCAUUCAUUUCUUUUUCAUAUUUGUACAAUUUGGAAAAGGAUUGUAUCCGAGAAAGAUAAUGGAGUUUUGGAGGUGAAUUUGUUAAUUUUAAUCAGAUUGACGAACGUCUCUUGGACAGGAUUUCGUCUCUAUUUGAUAUUUUCAGAUUUGAUCACCAAACAUAUGGAUUUUCUGUUGUCAUUUGUUUUUGUGCAGUGAUAUUUGCAUAAUGUUUCAUGCUACGUCUAAUCAAUCAUGUUGUUUGGAAGUUUGUAUGACUCUUGAUAACAGGCUUUACAAGAGUUUGGGAGGAUUAGUAAUUUCAGAGGUGAUACCUAUUAUCAUAUUUGUGUCUUGUAGUGUGAACUGUUCAAGUUUAUUCAUUUGCAAGAGGGAUCAAUUCUCCACUUUUGAUGCAGAAGAUUAGAUGGCUAACAUUAUUGUCCGUUCAUUUGAUCCAGCAAGAGCCCAUUCUAGAAAUGUGGUCUUCUCUUUAAAGGCCUUUAGUAUUUUACUAUCAUAAAUAGAUAUUAUUUCUGGUUCUAUUGUUUUGACUGAGAGGAAGUCACAAGUCUUGUUGAUAUAUGAUGAUCUCUUAUCAUUUCCCCUUAAUUCUUGGUUGUUGUUUUGACAGGGUAGGGUUUGGGGAGUCUGGGUUUUUGGAUUAGGAAUUGUCCAACCACCAACAAUGUGUGUACAAGUUUGAAAUAUAUGAAUGAAGGCUGUCAAGGAAAAUGAUUACAGCAAUGAAGGCUAAAAAAAAAAUUGCGGAAGCAGAGUCUCCUAGAUCAGGAUAUAUAUAUGCUAGAGUGGAAAGAAAUAGAUGAAAUAUAUUUCUGAGAUAUCUUACAAAUGUGAUUACAGUCUCUAUUUAUAGACUGUUUUACAACCUAAUUAAAGAAAGAAAUAAUAGGUGAUGAAAGCCAGAAAUAAAUAAUGAGUGUUUAAAGCUGUACAAAUCAAAUAAAAUAAAAUCACUAACAAAUCUGUACUAAUAAAUAUAAAAUGGAAUCUGCACUUAAUUAUAACAUAAUUCUCCUGAUUAUGCAACAGUUAGUUUGAAUUUUAUUGAAUUACAUAAAUGCUUUAUUAAUAUGAUCAUUUGAUUAUAGCAGAAUUGUAGUGGUUUUUAUAAAAUUAUUCUUAGUAGUUAUAUAAUUAUUCAUGGUUGUUAUAUUACCUUUAAUAGUUAUUGUUGUUGGAAAAAUAAUCUAGAAGUCCUUUGUUGGCUAAUGAUUCUCUAACAUUUUUUUAAAAAUUUUAUAGUAGUUGUAUUUUGAUUUGACAAUUUAGUUUAGUUUCUUUUAUUGACUCUUAUAGCUAAUUAAUAUUGACUUUCAUUAGAAUGUUGAUGAUGAUGUGAAUGAUGUGUUUUAAUGUUGAUUGUGUUGUGAUUCUAUUUUAUAAAAUAUUGUUUUAUGGUAAUCAUUAAUCAAUUGCUUUGUAUACACUCAUUUAUCAUAUUGCUGUAUGACAAAUCUUAAAGCCCUCUAAGAGAAAGGUUCCUGGGUUGCUUUGUGGAAAGUUUUAAACUCGCUCGCAAUGGUAAAGGAUGGAUCAAUGUGCUUUUAUGCAAGAAUUAUUAGUAAAUUCAUUUACGUGAAUUCUUAGUAUAAUUCUCUAGUUGAUUAUGACGAGUUUUUAACCUUUUCAGCUUAUGGCUGGUUCCCUAACAUUUCUUUUGCCUAUGGAUGAUAUGAAAAGCCCAACAAUCAAGGGCUCAACAUAAAGAAAGUCUUUUUUGAGUUUCCCUUCUAUUAUUCUUUUUGCUGGUAUUGAUAACAUAAGGAUUGAACUAUGAUGUGUUUAUCUGCAAUGGUGUUUGGAUUAGUUGGGUAACAUCGCAUAGUCAUCUUAUCAAAUUUCUAUACUUUGUCUUAAUAAGAGUGUUUAUUGUUUCCUUCAAUUUUUGGACUAUCGUUUCCUUCAAUUAAAUUUGGUGUUUGUGUUCAUUCCUUUUCAGCAAGUCCUGAGUCUUUGAGAUUUCUUUUGGUGGUUGAGGAACUACAGAAUGGUUGUAGAUCAGGAUAUCCUAAUUUCUCUAUACUUGAUCACCGAACAUUGAAUAGUGAUUUGUUCUUAUGCAGUAAACAUAAGGAUUUAAUUUUGAUUAUUUUCGUAUAAUGUCCUUUAUCUCAUGGAGUAUGUUAUGUGGCAUAAUAGUUUAAUUGUAAUUUGCUUCUUUGCAGCGUGAAAUUGGCUUACCGUAUUGCAUCUUAUGGGGUAUGUUAUGAGUGACCGUGUCUCCCUUAAUUUUUUAAUUUAUCUAAUAGUCCUUUAUUACCUGUUAUAGUUUUGUUGAAUUAUUGUUCUUUAUAGGGAUGUGUGGUAAUUAGCAAGAGCUCAGGACUAUUUGGUUUCAAUUUUUUUAUAACAAAACUUUAUUUUGCCUUUAUUAGUUUCCUUCAUUGACAAAUGAAUUUUGAACUUGGUUCUUGCAAAGCAUCAAUGUCCUUGCCUAAUUUGUGUUUCAAGAUUAUUGAUCUUUCGUAUUGAAGUUCUGAAAAUUUAGGUGGAGCAGUAUUGAAAAGAUGGAUCUUGAAGUUAUUCCUUUCAUUUUAGUAGUGUAAUUAGCAAGAGCUCAGGAUUAUUUGCCUCCAUUCUUUGAUUACAGAACUUUUUAUUUUGUUUGUUCCUGCAUCGACAAAUGAAUUUUGAACUUGUUCUUGCAUAAUUUAUCAUUGGGAGGAAAUGAAUUGGUGGUUUAGGUUUGGGAAACAGUGGAUCGGGACCCUGUGGAAAUUUAGGUUUUGUUCUAUGUUUAUUAUUUCUUUGCUGUUAUUAUUCACGGAUAAACUUGUGGACUGGGAAUGUUUACCUCUAUAUGACAGGCACUGUAAACGUCUGUGUCAGCUAUUUAAUUUUCUCUUUCUUGUCCACACUCAGACAUUUCUUUCAGCAACUGAGUCAUUUAAAAGAGAGUUUCGUUUCUUUUCAUGUUCUUUAUUGUCAAAAUAACCUUUCUUUCUUUCUUAUCAGCUAUAGUAUUUAGUUUCACUGUGAUCUCGGGAUGUGUUAUUUGGAAGUGAUGUGGUUAUUCAUCCAAGGAUUAAUGUGUUAUUUGGAAGUGAUGUGGUUAUUCAUUCAAGGAUUGAGUUCCAUUCUCUUCGACUUGCUUUUGUUUGUUGUGUUCAUUGCUAUCAAACAACUUUCUUCCUUUUAAAUGUAUGGAGUCUAUUUUUUUAAGAUGAAAUCCCCACUAAAUGUAAUGUUUUUUUUUUCUUUCUUUUUCAUCAUUGCCUAGUUAUUUCUGUUUCUCAUAGGCUUGGUCUCAUCCCUUCAACUUGCAUUUGUUUGUGUUCAUUGCUAUCAAACAGCUUUCUUCUUUUUAAAUGUAUGGAGCCUUUUUUGCUACGUCUAGAUGUUGAUUUUCUUGUGUUCAUUCAUUUUUAGGUGUUGAUUUGUUCGUGUUAAUUCCUUUUUAGCAUCUCGAGACUGCCGGAAUGGUUGAGGAUUAAAAUCUGAAAUUGUUUAGAACCACCAAUAAUUCAGGAUAACCUUCAACUUUGUUUUAGGUGUCAUUUGUUUUAUGUCUCUCUUUGUUUUAAAUGUCUUAUUGUCUCUAUACUUCAACUUUAUGAGCCGUUUGUAGCCUUCCUGAAUUCUUGGGGUGUACAGGACAAACAUGCAACAGAUGUGAGGUAGGAAAGAUGUGAGUAUCCUUGAAGCUUGAAUACUGGCAGGAGAUCCUUGAAGCUUUAGGUUUUGGUAUCCACACAUAUUUUUGUCUUUAAUUGGGACUGGCUAUUUGAAUUUCUCUGGUUUUUGAAUUCCUUCAAUUCAUUAAUUCAUUUUGUCCUUUCUUAAAUUCUGGGUCUUUAUUACCAAUAUCUAUUUGAAUUUAAAUAUAGUUCUUAAAUUUUUUAUGUAUAGGUGUUGAUUCGUUUGUGUUCAUUCCUUUUUAGCAUGUAAGACUGGUUGAGGAUUAAAAUCUGCAACUGUACACGAAAAAACAAGCAACGGAUGUGAGCUAGGAUAUCUGAAUACUGGAAGGACAUGCUUGAUUCUAUAGGUUAUCCAUACUCUUUGAUGACAGAUGUCUACUUGAGUUUGGAUGUAGUUAUUUAUUUGAUGACUGAGAUCUAUCAUAUGUAACUGUUUAUCUGCUUGUGUUAGUUCCUUUUCAGCAGGGGAUUCUGGUUUAGGAUAAAAAAACAUAAAUUUGAAUAUUGUUCUUGUCCGAUUAUCAAAAUAUGUAAAACCUAGCUAUUUGAUGUUGAUUCUUUUUUAGCACAUUAAAGGUUAAUAAUAAUACAAUACUCAGGGAAGAUGUCUCCUCUUUAUUUGAAACUUUGUAGAUUGAGCAUAUUUUUCGAGACUGAUAUAUGAGGUAGGAUGUGGAAACACUGGGAUUUGUGAAGCUUUAGGUUUUGUUAUCCUUACAUUUCUUAUGUUUUUAUUUGUGACUAACUAAACUUCUUGUUUGGAUGCUAAGUUUUGGUUGGAUUCAUUGCAGACCUUGUAGUGUGUCUGACAGUUCUUAUUGGUGUAUAUGUAGCAAUCACUAGCAGACUAUUAGAGGUCCUGUAAUUUGGGGAGGAUUUGUCUGACAGAAUUUCUAACAACUUAAUAUGAAGUACUGAAUUAAUAGUGAAAAAAAAGAUAAAGAAAAAAUAUCAUGGCCAUUAAAAGUUUAUGUUUCUUGUCCUGUUCAGCCAUGGCACUUGUCAGUGAGCUCUUGCUUCUUUCUCUAUUGCCCCAUAUGCAUACUUUUUCGCAUUUCUUACUCUUUUUUUAAGUUGUUCAUUUUUAAGUAAUUUAGGCUUCUCAUACUGGUUUCAUAGUGAAAUUUGAGCCUUUUACAUGGUGCCAUUGAAAUUAAGGAGGGAAUUAAUGAUCUUUAGUUUUAUAGUACUGAAUUAAUUUGGAUUUGCUUAGGUGUAGCAAAUUUGAAAGGUCAUUUUCUUAGUUAUUACUUCAUUUACUAAAUUAUCAAGAGCAUUGAACAAUUUGAUUUUGUAGUGUUUUGUUUGCUGCCUUGACAAAUGAAUCUUGCAUUCUAUUGUUUUUAGUAAUUUUGGGUUACAUUCUGAAUAUGACAUAUGAUGAUCUCUUAUAUCUUCCAAAAUGAGAAUGAUCUCCAACAUUAGAGCUGUAUUUAGUUCUAUCUCCAAUGUGAGAAUGAGAAAAUUGAGAGCUGUAUUUAGUUUUAUCUCCAAUUAUCUCUAAUAUUAGAAUGAGAAACAACAGUAGUUGAAAUGUUUUCUUGUAAUCUAUCUUCGUGUGCUAUGAUUCAGUUCUCUCUCCAUAUAUGAGAAUAAAAAAUGAGAAAGAGAAACAACAUUAUUUGGAAUGUUUUGUCGUAAUCUUCUUGCACUAUGAUUUUGUUCUCUCCCAAUAUGCGAAUGAGAAAAUGAAAAACAACAGUAUUUAGAAAGUUUUGUCGUAAUCUUGCGCUAUGAUUUGGUUCUCUCCUCAAUAUGCAAUGAGAAGAUGAGAAACAACAUUCCUUAACUUGUAAUUGAUUUUAUAUUAAUUGUUUAACUAUUCACUUCAUGUUUUUCUAAUUUGAAGAUAUCUCUUUACUAAAAACAAUGUAAUUAAUUUUAUAUUAAUUGUUUAGCUAUUCA
Molecule: long non-coding RNA, 19542 nt
Filed under: Phaseolus vulgaris (common bean)
Lineage: Eukaryota; Viridiplantae; Streptophyta; Magnoliopsida; Fabales; Fabaceae
Description: long non-coding RNA (PVUL_LNC004094)
Source: RNAcentral